AUAGUGACAAAAUCUGAGCCAAAUGUAGCUUAAUGUCUCAAGAGUGACUACAUAACGUUAACGUUGAAAUAAGUUGACGUUAUCACUCUGUUUUAUUUUAAUUUGUCUUUUGAGCAGGAGCGGUCAACGUCACAUUUGCGGCGCUCCUAACAUAUUUUGGUCUUAUGUGUGAAUUUUUUUUUCUUGAAUUAAUCGUGGUUUACAUUGUGUGUUAACGGCACUUUAGUGUUGUUAAUAUAAGAGUGUCGUAGCCCUUACGGAGAGAAGGGGCGGGUUGCAGCGUAAAGCGAGAGAGAACGGGGGCGCGUAGCUAAAAAGACUGAAAAGUUGUAGCUGGAUACUGUAUGUCGAGUGUAAAUUGUGGACAAAUAAAGUGUCGAGACUCAUCCAGCCGUGGUCCGAGUCGUCCUCCCACCAGCUAAUUUCUCUGGACGCGGGGUCUUAAACACGGAGCUGAGCGGCUCCCUUGCCCUUACGGUCAUCAAGCGAUUGACAAACUCAAGUCAUCUAUUCACCUGGAGUCAGCUGAAAAGUCGUGGGCUCAAGUAUUUGUGUGAACAGUGCUACUAGUGUUCCAGUGACAGAGUGAAUGUGGCAAUGCAAGGCCUGCCCUUCAGUUUUUCAAAAUAAACGCAGAGUUCAAGCGCAUUACAACCAUGCCUCUACAGUCAAGGUUUCUGUCGCAGCUUGACUUUCUGUCUGAAAGUCUGCUGAGAGUGUUUGCAAAGCCAUCGGGGAAGCAGGGCAAAAUGUUGAAAGACAUGACAGACAUGAUGAUGGAUGACGUGGAUGCUAGAAGGGAGUCCCUCAUUAAAAAGGACUUUGCCUCUAUUUGAAGGAGAAUCCUGACAUCUUGGUGCACGAGUACAUGGACAUGACUGAUGUCUCCACUCUCAGUGCCAUUGAGAAAACAACAGUGGGAGUCUAUGUUGCCAGGGAGACACCAGGCAAGGACUUUCCUGAUGUUGGCAUCAUCAUCGAAGGUGUGGUGAUACUUCAGGACCUGGAUAAUGUGGCCCUUGCAACAGCCAUGCUGUUUGGACUUUUUUACUGCUUCAACAUGAGUUACCUGGCACAGCUCCCCUACACUUUUGAGGUGAUUCAAAAGGUGGUCAUGGAAUUGGAUCCGACUGAACUCUCGAGAAAAGCCCAAAACUUAAAGACAAAACUUCAAUAAGGAGAGAUUGUUGUGCACGUCACAUGUUUAACUAAAGGUAAGAGGACAUUUAUAGUUCACAUACGCCCUCUUGCAUUUUGGACAUUGAAUUUGUAGGUGAAUGAUCAGCAACCCAAAAACGAUCACAUUGUUCAUUGUAGUGUUUAUUCUGUGGGAUGGUUAUAACUGUUUACCUGCCAUGGAAACGUAGUGCCAUUUUUUUCUGUUUAAUUGGUAUGGUUCUUCAAUUUUGUUUUUCCAAGUGAAAAAGGAUGAUUGUACGCAAUCUGAAAAGGUUGUAGUUUAAAAAAAAAGUUUUAAUACUUCUAAGGCUGUUUUGAAUCAUGAUGUCACAAUACCAGUGUCGAAAUUUUGGACACUUGCUGUAUUUUUGACUGUAUUUUGUGCUGUGGCUUUUGAAAUAAAGCUUUGACAUGCAA
Oryzias latipes (Japanese medaka) is the source of this 1596-nucleotide non-coding RNA. Lineage: Eukaryota; Metazoa; Chordata; Actinopteri; Beloniformes; Adrianichthyidae. The record is from RefSeq and is a predicted model, not a curated record.